GAACUAUGCCUGAGCGGGG
This 19-nucleotide non-coding RNA is filed under the name Arabidopsis thaliana (thale cress). The record is from RNAcentral. Lineage: Eukaryota; Viridiplantae; Streptophyta; Magnoliopsida; Brassicales; Brassicaceae.